UGUUUAGCUACUCUAUUUCUUUAAAACUCUCAAAAACUCAGUUUAUCUACACAACUCUAUGACCUCUUGCAAAACUGCAGUCUAAAAAUAAAGGGAAAUCAACUAUUCAAAUUUCAAGUUGUACUGUGGCAGUGUUUAAUUUUCUAAAAUGAAAUAGGUCAACUUAAAAAUUAAGCCCAGAACGUCACAGAGCAUCUCAAAUUGUCUCCUUCCUUCUCUAACUGAUCUCCAAACCCUACAGUCCAAAUUCAAAGCUUGUUUUCAAUAAAGGAGAAAAUCAACACCAUGGCUGCUUUGAACUCCAAGAGAUUUUUUUGCUCCAGUUCAGAAAACUAAGGAUAUUACAAUCUAAGUCUGAUGCACCUGGCUGAAAUUCAAUAUUCUGUCUAGUUUCCUUUUCCCUCCAAAGACAAAGGACCUGUCUGGCAAAGGAGGAAAUACUACACUCACUUAGAUUUCAAAAGAAGUGAAGCAUUAAUCCAUUACAGGGGCAUGCUUGUAUUAAGGCCAGGGCACUAAACAAGUGCCAACUCUAGUGUAGCAGUAAUCUGUGCCACAAUUGAACUGCAUUGCAUCACAACUGUAUUUAAAAUUUGGUGAAAAUGCUUUAGGAUCAUGGACAUUUUUGCUCUCUGAAAGAACAAAGGAUAAACAGCAACAUUACAAAAGCCAGGCAAAUUAGUAAAUGGCUUGGACCACAAACCAAGUAAGCAAGCUAUAGACGUAGGGGCAAAGAAUCAUAAACAUUCUUAGGGCCCUCUUCACUUCUGUCAUAUAUGAUAGCUACAUACACCAAAACAUAAGCUCCUGAAUGUACGUUUAUGUUUGAAUUGAAUUAUAUUCUCUCUAGAACCCUGGAUAUUGUAGGUGCUCAGUAUAAACUUAUCAAAUAGAUUAAGAUGUUCUCGCUUUCUCUCUCUACCCUGAAUGUCUUUUUAAAAAUGCUAUGAAGACACACCUUGCCCCCACAUUAAGAAGGAAAAAGGAAGUUAGCUACAAGAAAAUCUGAGGCAACGUGAAGAGAAAGCAGAAGUCAGAGGAGCCCCAAGUCUCACCAGGUCAACUACUCUAAGACACCUGGAAAGAAGAUACUGAAAGCAGCCAAGAAUUAGCUUUGAGGUUGCUGAAAAUAAUCUUACAGUCAAGAAGAGACAAACCUGGUACAAAAACAGGGCAGUAGAAAUUAGAAGCCUGAAAGUCUGAAAAAAGAAUAUGGGCAUAUUCUGAAGACUGAGGAGCAAAGCAAAAACUGGUGUUCCUUUCCCUCUGUAAACUAGCACUUUUUAUAAUCUUGAGAUUGUCAUUCUCAGAUUACUGGAUCCAAAUGCCUUUUAAUUUUACUGAUUUACCCUACAGAUAUGUUUGCACAAAAUGUCUGUACAAGGUUAUUUAUCACAGCAUUAUUAAUAGUUGCAAAACUUUAAAAAUAUCUCUCAAUAAGGGAGUAGUUAUAGAAAUUAUGGUACUUCUAUACAAUGAACUAUUGGGUAGCUUUUAAAAAAAGAGUGGAGUAGCUCUCUAGUGGUGACAUGGAAAAAUAUCAAAGUUAUAUUAGGUGAAGAAAAAUGCUGCAGAAUGUGUAUAUGAACUUUUUGCAUAAAAAAAGAAAAAUAAUAUUACAUUUUAAUUUUUGCCAAUAAUUACAUAACACAUUUCUGGAAAGAUACAUUACAAACUAAGAACAGUGGGUACCUAUUGGAGAGGACAGUAUGGGAACUGGACAGCUGGCGAUGAGGAUGAGAAAGAGACUGUUCACUGCAUACCUUUUUUAUAAUGUUAGUUUUAAACAAAGUGAAUAAUUUCUCUAUUAAGAAGGUAAACUUAAAAAAUAGUCAAUCUAAGAAAACUGAUAGCAACAACAGCAAGGGGGUUCAAAUCCCAGAGCAGAAUAGAGCCCCCAUUUCUAAAAUUGAUACUUCAAGCAGACAAUCUAUCAUGUGAGCUUAAGAUAUGUAAGUUUUAGGCUCAUAGUAACCAGAUUGAAACCAGUCUCUCACAACUAAAAAAAAUUAUCUUUGAUUGCUCAAGAAUGUUUUUUAAAUAGAAGCAUAUUAAGCUGCAAAUAUAUAGUGAUGUAGUUAUCUUGAUAUACACAUUUAUUGAAAAAAAAAUGGACUGAAUUAGGCUCAAAAGAAUCUGU
This is a non-coding RNA of Kogia breviceps (pygmy sperm whale), 2140 nucleotides long. The record is from RefSeq and is a predicted model, not a curated record. Lineage: Eukaryota; Metazoa; Chordata; Mammalia; Artiodactyla; Physeteridae.